UAGUGUUCGGGGGCAGUGCCCCCCAAAAUUU
Picea glauca (white spruce) is the source of this 31-nucleotide non-coding RNA. NCBI's taxonomy places the organism in Eukaryota, Viridiplantae, Streptophyta, Pinopsida, Pinales, Pinaceae. The record is from Rfam.